GGUGGGUAGCCUUAACCGGAUGUGUUUUAACAGGGAAGCCCGAAGGCUGUUCCCGACCCUGUCAGGGGAGAUGCCAACCAUCUCUCCUUUAAUCGAACACAACGUAGUAGAUGUUAAAUUUAUUUCAUAUAACAGAAAUUAAUUGUUACAUUUUUCGAUGUGGGAUGUACCAAAAUAGAACCUUACUUCUCCGAGCUCUCCGCUCCCAUUUCCCCUCUCCUGUAAUUCUCUAAUCCCGAACGAAAAUGGCUACAGAUCGAAACGGUGAGCUAUUAACUAAGAGAGGAAGUUCCGAUAACGACGAGACCAGCGAAGGAAGAGGAGAAGAAGAGAACGGUUCUAGGUCAAAGAGAAAUUCCGACAAGGAUCGUGAAAAUUUGAGCUCCGAUUGACGAAAACGCAGGAAAUCAGUUCGGAUUCCGAUGAUAAGCAUGACAAGAAACGUGGAAUGAGUUCAAGAAGAAGGCGCACAUCCCGUAAACGACACAGUAGUAGCGAGAAGGAUUCUGAUUCCGAGGAUACCGAAUCUGAUAGCUUGAGUAUGAUUCGGAGAGGAGGAGGAGGAGGAGGAAGAGAAACGGAGGAAGGAGAAGAAGGAACGAGGAAAGAAAGGAGCAGUGACGAAUUCAUGCGGAAAGUACAACAUUAUCAAAGAAACUGAUACCUGAUUCAUAGAGGACCUUUACACGGCCACUUUUCCAUCCAAAAAGUAAGGUUCUGAGUGAUUAUUGUAUGCAGCUACCACGUUCUUGUUUGAGAAGUUAGAAUGCUAGAUGGAACAUUACUAUGAUCAAUAUCUCUUGUAGUGCGAACUUUAUACAGCAUUUUUAAUGUGUUUGAUGAUGAAGAACAGAGGAGGUACUUUCUACUGUUCUUCCUCUUUCUUUACCUGCUGUUCAUUUUGAUGAUUAAAUGCAUCUCUUUCUGGGAAUUUUGCUCAUCUGGUUGUUGAACAUGGAUGUUUGAUGAUGGAUAGAAGAAAUUCUUUAUUCAAUUUUCAAAAGUAUAUCAAAUAGCUGUUCAACAGACUAGCAAACGAACUAUUACUAAAAAUCAUUAUCCAAUUCACUCUACUUUUCAGGCAAGAACUACUCGUAGAGCGAACAAGCUCGACUCGGUGAGGAGAUGGCUUACCAGUAUAAGCUCGGAAAGUUUGAGGUAGGCAUAAAUGUGAACGAAGUUUUCCUGCAGUUUAAUUUGAUGCAAUCUCGGGCUAGUUCCUCGAGUUUUUGCUACAUCUUAAUUCAGGCUGCAGCUGCCAUCCAGCAAAGAUUGGACCCAGAUAUCGCCCUGUGACAGAAGAGUCUGUGUUUUACAGGAUUAUCUCGUGUUUAGUACUGCAUGGUUGAGUGGAACCAUGAAGUUCCCAAAUGUUGUCUUUUGGGUUCCAAUAAAGGGAAGCUCUCCAAUCCCAGGCUAGUUCCUCAAAUUUUUGUUGCAUCUUAUUACAGGCGGCAGCAGCCAUCCAACGAAGAUGGGACCGAGAUGUGAUAGAAGAGUGUAUUUUGCGGUUUGGUACUGCAUCGUUCCACUCUGAAGAAGUUUUUGAACGUUUCUAAAUGUUGUCUUUGGAUUCCAUGGAUUCCAAAGGGAAGCUCUCCAAUCCGAUCAUUUCUGUCGACCUUCGUGGAUAAGGAAUUAACUCAAUGAAAGCUCUCAUACCAAAUGAUAAGGAAUCACUAUAAGGGAAGUAAGAUUCCGAUUAUCUUGUUGAUCGAAUAUUUCAAAUCUCAAGACAAGAACAUUUGUUUGAGAUUUGAAUCACUUCACAACCAAGAUCAAUGAUAUCUAGUUUGAAUAAUUCUAUAUGUAACCUAAACUAUAGAAUUACAAUGAAACUUAGUCAUUGACUAAAAAAAAAUAUACAAAUGUUCAUUUUACGCA
Non-coding RNA from Cucurbita pepo subsp. pepo (vegetable marrow), 1884 nucleotides. The record is from RefSeq and is a predicted model, not a curated record. Lineage: Eukaryota; Viridiplantae; Streptophyta; Magnoliopsida; Cucurbitales; Cucurbitaceae.